UGGGGAAUAUUGGACAAUGGGCGCAAGCCUGAUCCAGCCACGCCGCGUGAGUGAUGAAGGCCUUCGGGUCGUAAAGCUCUGUGGGGAGAGACGAACCGCCGGUGGCUAAUACCCAUCGGCAUGACGGUACCUCCUUAGCAAGCACCGGCUAACUUCGUGCCAGCAGCCGCGGUAAUACGAAGGGUGCAAACGUUGCUCGGAAUCAUUGGGCGUAAAGCGCACGUAGGCGGCUUCGCAAGUCGGAUGUGAAAUCCCGUGGCUCAACCAUGGACGUGCAUUCGAAACUGCGAAGCUUGAGUAUGGAAGAGGGUCGCGGAAUUCCCGGUGUAGAGGUGAAAUUCGUAGAUAUCGGGAGGAACACCAGUGGCGAAGGCGGCGACCUGGGCCAAUACUGACGCUGAGGUGCGAAAGCGUGGGGAGCAAACAGG
Molecule: ribosomal RNA, 428 nt
Filed under: uncultured bacterium
Lineage: Bacteria
Description: bacterial SSU rRNA
Rfam family: Bacterial small subunit ribosomal RNA
Source: RNAcentral